UGCCUGAUCUUAUUAAUGCCAUAAACAAUUAAAAUACCAGACAUAAUGAACAGCCUUAAAAUGCUGAUAUAGGAACUUACUCUCGAGCGGUUCUUAAUAAAUCAUACAUCGAAAAAGAGGUGUUUAAUAUGUUGUGAAAGUUAGAUCUACCUCGUAACCAAUUUAUGCAAUGCUCGUAUUUGACAACUAUGAAAAAGAGGAAGUAAUCGUAAUAUCUCACGAUUUUUACGUUUUGUAGUAUCAAACAUGUUUAACCGACGGUAUGUCAUUUAGACAAUUAUAAAUAAUUAAAAUAAUUAAACAAUUAUAAACAAUUAUAAGCAAUUAAAACAAUUAAAUUUUUAUUGUUUAUAAUUGGUUGUCUUUCAAAUGAAGAAAACAUUUAUUGUGGAAGCAAAGCAAAUAGACAAUUACACUUCAAAAUGAAGAAGAACAAUGUUGGGAAAAUGAUAUUAAAAAGUUGGAAACAAUGGAUGAUAAACAAUUAAAAAAAAUGGCAAAGAUAAAAGAUAAAAGUUUUCAAUAAAAAUAAACAAUCCAAUUUUAAUGACGGAUAGUGAAAGUCCAAAAAGAGAAGUUGUUCUGGAUGAUAUCUAUAUAGAUAAAUUUAAAGUCUUUAAUAAAAAGAGGGAAAUAAAAGAAGCAAUGGUUUAAGCACCAUGGUGACUGUUUGUAAAAGGUCACUUCCUGAGAGAACCUAAGUCAAAUAUAACGCGUAAGUUUUUUAAGUAAUAAAUAAGAUACUAUAAUAAAGUUUAUUAUGCUCGCUUCUUUGUAUUUGGAAUUUGAAAUAUUAUUGUAUGAUAGUAUAGCAUGUAUUAUUUAUGAUUAAAAUAUUAUUCAUAUGUAACAUAUAAACAUUGCAUUUAUAUAACUUACUAAUAUUUAAUCAGGAUGGAUCAUCCUGUCAUUCAUGUUUCUUGAAAUGACGCAUUCUUAUUAUUAAGAUGCACUACAUGAUCACAUAAAUGCAUAUAUCAACAAAA
Molecule: long non-coding RNA, 986 nt
Organism: Vespa velutina
Lineage: Eukaryota; Metazoa; Arthropoda; Insecta; Hymenoptera; Vespidae
Exons: 3
Source: RefSeq, a predicted model, not a curated record